Molecule: unclassified non-coding RNA, 884 nt
Filed under: Hevea brasiliensis (rubber tree)
Lineage: Eukaryota; Viridiplantae; Streptophyta; Magnoliopsida; Malpighiales; Euphorbiaceae
Source: RNAcentral
GGGACUCACUAAUCUCAAGCUAUCUCUGUUUCCCAAUUCGUGUUCACUCUCCUCUCUUUCAUCAAACCCAUUUCUUGUUUCUACCUCCAUUUUCCGCAGAACAUCCCACUGCUUCCCAAAGAUAUUCGCGUUUUCCAGCAAUGAUAUUAAAGUGGGCAGCAACAUUGAAGUGGAUGGAUCUCCUUGCAAGGUUAUAGAGUUUCUUCAUGUAAAGCCUGGGAAAGGGGCUGCAUUCGUGAGGACCACGCUGCGCAACUAUGUAACAGGGAAUAGCGUUGAGAAAACUUUCCGAGCUGGAAGUAAGAUAGAAGAGGCAAAUAUCUACAAGGAGACGAAGCAAUUCACCUACAAGGAUGGUGCCCAGUAUGUCUUCAUGGAUCUGACCUCUUAUGAAGAAUAUCGUCUAAAUGAAAAAGAAGUUGGAGAUAAAGCAAAGUUUCUAAAAGAGGGCAUGGACUGCAGUUUGCUUUUCUGGAACGGGAAGGUGAUCGACUUUGAAUUGCCUAUAACAGUAAAGUUGACAGUGGUGGACGUUGAUCCAGGCGUCAAAGGUGACACUGCCCAAGGUGGAUCAAAGCCAGCAACCCUCGAUACCGGUGCAAUUGUAAGCGUUCCAUUAUUCAUAAAUAGAGGAGAGGAAAUUAUGGUUGAUACUAGAAAUGGACAAUACAUGAGCCGCGCAUAGGUUUGCUUCAGGAUACAAUUUUGUUACAACUGAAACUUUUUGUAUCUAUAUGUAUUAGAACCUAGUAUUUGCAGGAGUAACAUUGAAGACCCCCAUUGAGAAUACUAUUGGAAACCUUCUGUUUUAGUGUACAAAUGGGAAAGAAAAGUAAUCCUUGUUUUACUGCCAAUUUUUACCUUCCAAAAACACAACUCUAAAA